GUGGGGAAUCUUAGACAAUGGGCGCAAGCCUGAUCUAGCCAUGCCGCGUGAGCGAUGAAGGCCUUAGGGUUGUAAAGCUCUUUCGUGGGGGAAGAUAAUGACUGUACCCCAAGAAGAAGCCCCGGCUAACUCCGUGCCAGCAGCCGCGGUAAUACGGAGGGGGCUAGCGUUGUUCGGAAUUACUGGGCGUAAAGCGCACGUAGGCGGACUGGAAAGUCAGGGGUGAAAUCCCGGGGCUCAACCCCGGAACUGCCUUUGAAACUCCCAGUCUUGAGGUCGAGAGAGGUGAGUGGAAUUCCGAGUGUAGAGGUGAAAUUCGUAGAUAUUCGGAGGAACACCAGUGGCGAAGGCGGCUCACUGGCUCGAUACUGACGCUGAGGUGCGAAAGCGUGGGGAGCAAACAGGAUUAGAAACCCCUCUAGUCC
Molecule: ribosomal RNA, 425 nt
Filed under: uncultured bacterium
Lineage: Bacteria
Description: partial 16S ribosomal RNA
Rfam family: Bacterial small subunit ribosomal RNA
Source: RNAcentral